This is a non-coding RNA of Acanthosepion pharaonis, 111 nucleotides long. The record is from the annotation of a GenBank genome assembly. NCBI's taxonomy places the organism in Eukaryota, Metazoa, Mollusca, Cephalopoda, Sepiida, Sepiidae.
UUACGGCCAUAUCAUGUUGGAACAGUAGUUCUCGUACGAUCAAAGAAGUUAAGCAACGUCGAGCCUUGUCAGUGCCUAGCUGGGAGACCGUUUAGGAAGACCAGGUGAUGU